CAGCAGCCGCGGUAAUACGUAGGGUGCAAGCGUUAAUCGGAAUUACUGGGCGUAAAGGGCGCGUAGGUGGUUAUGUAAGUGAGAUGUGAAAUCCCCGGGCUCAACCUGGGAACUGCAUCUUAUACUGCGUAGCUGGAGUGCAGUAGAGGGUAGUGGAAUUUCCGGUGUAGCGGUGAAAUGCGUAGAUAUUCGGAAGAACACCAGUGGCGAAGGCGACACACUGGCUCAUUACUGGCGCUGAGGCGCGAAAGCGUGGGGAGCAAACAGGAUUAGAGACCCCGGUAGUCCCUGUCUCUUAUAC
RNAcentral lists this ribosomal RNA (301 nucleotides) under uncultured bacterium. Its description in RNAcentral is "partial 16S ribosomal RNA". It matches the Rfam family "Bacterial small subunit ribosomal RNA", at positions 509 to 807 of the family's 1533-position model. The record is from RNAcentral.